Molecule: long non-coding RNA, 643 nt
Organism: Haliotis rubra (blacklip abalone)
Lineage: Eukaryota; Metazoa; Mollusca; Gastropoda; Lepetellida; Haliotidae
Exons: 2
Source: RefSeq, a predicted model, not a curated record
CGCCAGCAUCAUCGGCUGGUUCAUCGCCUCUGUGUCGAUCAUCCCAUUGCUAGUUUAUAUGAUUCUGGCUGUGAAGAAGCAUAUGGCGUCACAUACGUUCAGACAGAGUAUCCAAAUGGCUCUUCGCCCCGAGGAUGUGUGGCGUCCUUCUGAUCCCCUGUACAGGGGGAAUUACCGAGACAACCUUGUACAUACACAGUAUUCCUUGAAGGACCAUAUGACAAGUGUGUUUACAAAGUAACAUGUCAGUGAUCAAAAGCUCGUAAUAUCUUGGCAUCAUAACAUUGCAAUACCUCCGUCAUCUGCCACCAGUUAUUAGAAAAUCAAUCUUCAUUGUACUUUGUAUGUUUACGGUAUAAUGUUCCUUUCGCUAGACAGGGAGUUGUUAGUCAUUGAUUCCGGGACAGGCAUAACAUGUGAUCAACAUUAUGAACAACGACCUCCGUCUGAGUAUACCGCCCAUGUCGAAGAAGAUAUCUGUAUAUUUCAGUGAUAAUUGACAUUAAAUUUGCAAUCAAUCUUUGAACUUGUAUUACGUUUGUUUUAGGCGGUGUUUUAAUUAAGCUUGGGAUCCUAUUUAACUGUCGUCAUUAGCUUUGUGUUGUCAGGAUGCUGGUUAUCUUCAAUAAACAGAGUGAGUGUA